RNAcentral lists this ribosomal RNA (444 nucleotides) under uncultured bacterium. RNAcentral's name for it is "bacterial SSU rRNA". It matches the Rfam family "Bacterial small subunit ribosomal RNA", at positions 355 to 796 of the family's 1533-position model. The record is from RNAcentral.
UGAGGAAUAUUGGACAAUGGGUGCAAGCCUGAUCCAGCCAUCCCGCGUGAAGGAUUAAGGUCCUAUGGAUUGUAAACUUCUUUUAUACAGGGAUAAACCUCUCCUCGUGAGGAGAGCUGAAGGUACUGUAUGAAUAAGCACCGGCUAACUCCGUGCCAGCAGCCGCGGUAAUACGGAGGGUGCAAGCGUUAUCCGGAUUUAUUGGGUUUAAAGGGUCCGUAGGCGGGCCGAUAAGUCAGUGGUGAAAUCUCGCAGCUUAACUGUGAAACUGCCAUUGAUACUGUCGGUCUUGAGUAAAUUUGAAGUGGCUGGAAUAAGUAGUGUAGCGGUGAAAUGCAUAGAUAUUACUUAGAACACCAAUUGCGAAGGCAGGUCACUAAGAUUUAACUGACGCUGAUGGACGAAAGCGUGGGUAGCGAACAGGAUUAGAUACCCUGGUAGUCA